This 357-nucleotide ribosomal RNA is filed under the name Triticum aestivum (bread wheat). Its description in RNAcentral is "partial small subunit ribosomal RNA". The record is from RNAcentral. Lineage: Eukaryota; Viridiplantae; Streptophyta; Magnoliopsida; Poales; Poaceae.
AUGAUCUAUGCAUAUGGAAGAAAAGGGCAGAUGAAAGAAGCCUCAAGAUUGUUUUCUGAGAUGAAAUCUUCAGGCCUGGUACCAGAUAUUGUAACAUACAAUAUCUUUGUUAAGAGUUAUGUGGCCAACUCAAUGUUUGAAGAGGCUAUUGAUUUAGUACGUUAUAUGGUUACUCAUGGUUGCAAGCCCAAUGAGAGAACUUACAAUUCAAUACUGCAGGAGUACUGUAGGCAUGAUAAGAUAGCAGAUGCCAAAUCAUUCCUUAGCAACCUUCCUCAGCUUCAUCCUGGAAUAUCCAAACAAGAACAGCAAAGACUGCUAGAACUGUUGGCUAGGCACACUUCAAGAGAUAGAGGU